GAUGAACGCUGGCGGCGUGCCUAAUACAUGCAAGUCGAGCGAACAGACGAGGAGCUUGCUCCUUCGACGUUAGCGGCGGACGGGUGAGUAACACGUAGGUAACCUACCUAUAAGACUGGGAUAACUUCGGGAAACCGGAGCUAAUACCGGAUAAUAUUUCGAACCGCAUGGUUCGAUAGUGAAAGAUGGCUUUGCUAUCACUUAUAGAUGGAUCCGCGCCGCAUUAGCUAGUUGGUAAGGUAACGGCUUACCAAGGCAACGAUACGUAGCCGACCUGAGAGGGUGAUCGGCCACACUGGAACUGAGACACGGUCCAGACUCCUACGGGAGGCAGCAGUAGGGAAUCUUCCGCAAUGGGCGAAAGCCUGACGGAGCAACGCCGCGUGAGUGAUGAAGGUCUUCGGAUCGUAAAACUCUGUUAUUAGGGAAGAACAAACGUGUAAGUAACUGUGCACGUCUUGACGGUACCUAAUCAGAAAGCCACGGCUAACUACGUG
This 497-nucleotide ribosomal RNA is filed under the name uncultured bacterium. RNAcentral's name for it is "partial 16S ribosomal RNA". It matches the Rfam family "Bacterial small subunit ribosomal RNA", at positions 28 to 507 of the family's 1533-position model. The record is from RNAcentral.